GAUGAACGCUGGCGGCGUGCCUAAUACAUGCAAGUCGAGCGAACAGACGAGGAGCUUGCUCCUCUGACGUUAGCGGCGGACGGGUGAGUAACACGUGGAUAACCUACCUAUAAGACUGGGAUAACUUCGGGAAACCGGAGCUAAUACCGGAUAAUAUAUUGAACCGCAUGGUUCAAUAGUGAAAGACGGUUUUGCUGUCACUUAUAGAUGGAUCCGCGCCGCAUUAGCUAGUUGGUAAGGUAAAGGCUUACCAAGGCGACGAUGCGUAGCCGACCUGAGAGAGUGAUCGGCCACACUGGAACUGAAACACGGUCCAGACUCCUACGGGAGGCAGCAGUAGGGAAUCUUCCGCAAUGGGCGAAAGCCUGACGGAGCAACGCCGCGUGAGUGAUGAAGGUCUUCGGAUCGUAAAACUCUGUUAUUAGGGAAGAACAAAUGUGUAAGUAACUAUGCACGUCUUGACGGUACCUAAUCAGAAAGCCACGGCUAACUACGUG
RNAcentral lists this ribosomal RNA (497 nucleotides) under uncultured bacterium. RNAcentral describes it as "partial 16S ribosomal RNA". It matches the Rfam family "Bacterial small subunit ribosomal RNA", at positions 28 to 507 of the family's 1533-position model. The record is from RNAcentral.